GAAUUUUAGUUUUAGUUCUCACACUAAUGACAUCAAGUUUGUUCACACUUCUCUGUACCAUUGCCUUUGGGUAGUCCUCUUGUCCACUGACAAUAGACUUGACCAUGUCACUUUCUUUGAUCAGUGAGACAAGCAAAGAAUUGAAACGUGAUGGACCAUUGGAACUUUUCUUCUUUUGCUGAUUUUGGAAACCUGCUGGAUAACAAAGACUGGCCCAGUUUACCCCUUCACCUCAGCUGACAGCCAGCCAGCCCUCGGAGCUGUGACACCUACUUGACUGCAUCUGCUUGAUUGGGGAUCUUUUUAUCUUCAUGUAAAGAAGCCCUGGCUAGCCUAAUGUAGGAACCACCUGCAGCAGAAACAAGCCAUCCCAACGGAGGAGCCCUAAUGCCAAACAAGAAAGUUGCAACCAUCCUAAACUCUUCAGCCCCAAGCAAAUCACCAGCCCCAGUCACAUCACCAGCUGAUGGUAGAAAUCCAACAUGCUAACCCGAACCAGAGGAAUAACCCAGCAGCUGACCCAAGACUGGCAAACUAAUAAAAUGGUGGCUAUUAUAA
This 558-nucleotide long non-coding RNA is filed under the name Homo sapiens (human). RNAcentral describes it as "long intergenic non-protein coding RNA 2496". Lineage: Eukaryota; Metazoa; Chordata; Mammalia; Primates; Hominidae. The record is from RNAcentral.